AGAUUGAACGCUGGCGGCAUGCCUAACACAUGCAAGUCGAACGGGAGUAGCAAUACUCUAGUGGCGGACGGGUGAGGAAUACGUAGGAAUUUGCCCUUAAGUGGGGGAUAACCCGGGGAAACCCGGAUUAAUACCGCAUGACCUCGAAAGAGCAAAGUGGGGGAUCGCAAGACCUCACGCUUUUGGAGAAGCCUACGUCGGAUUAGCUAGUUGGUGAGGUAAUGGCUCACCAAGGCGACGAUCCGUAACUGGUCUGAGAGGAUGAUCAGUCACACCGGAACUGAGACGACGGUCCGGACUCCGUACGGGAGCAGCAGUGGGAAUAGUGGACAA
RNAcentral lists this ribosomal RNA (333 nucleotides) under uncultured soil bacterium. RNAcentral describes it as "bacterial SSU rRNA". It matches the Rfam family "Bacterial small subunit ribosomal RNA", at positions 26 to 371 of the family's 1533-position model. The record is from RNAcentral.